GAUGAACGCUGGCGGCGUGCCUAAUACAUGCAAGUCGAGCGAACAGACGAGGAGCUUGCUCCUCUGACGUUAGCGGCGGACGGGUGAGUAACACGUGGAUAACCUACCUAUAAGACUGGGAUAACUUCGGGAAACCGGAGCUAAUACCGGAUAAUAUAUUGAACCGCAUGGUUCAAUAGUGAAAGACGGUUUUGCUGUCACUUAUAGAUGGAUCCGCGCUGCAUUAGCUAGUUGGUAAGGUAAAGGCUUACCAAGGCAACGAUGCGUAGCCGACCUGAGAGGGUGAUCGGCCACACUGGAACUGAGACACGGUCCAGACUCCUACGGGAGGCAGCAGUAGGGAAUCUUCCGCAAUGGGCGAAAGCUUGACGGAGCAACGCCGCGUGAGUGAUGAAGGUCUUCGGAUCGUAAAACUCUGUUAUUAGGGAAGAACAAAUGUGUAAGUAACUAUGCACGUCUUGACGGUACCUAAUCAGAAAGCCACGGCUAACUACGUG
Molecule: ribosomal RNA, 497 nt
Filed under: uncultured bacterium
Lineage: Bacteria
Description: partial 16S ribosomal RNA
Rfam family: Bacterial small subunit ribosomal RNA
Source: RNAcentral